This 433-nucleotide ribosomal RNA is filed under the name uncultured bacterium. Its description in RNAcentral is "partial 16S ribosomal RNA". It matches the Rfam family "Bacterial small subunit ribosomal RNA", at positions 29 to 507 of the family's 1533-position model. The record is from RNAcentral.
AGCGAACGCUGGCGGCAGGCCUAACACAUGCAAGUCGAACGAACUCUUCGGAGUUAGUGGCGGACGGGUGAGUAACCCGUUGGAACGUGCCUUUUGGUUCGGAAUAACUCAGGGAAACUUGUGCUAAUACCGAAUGUGCCCUUCCGGGGAAAGAUUUAUCGCCAUUAGAGCGGCCCGCGUCUGAUUAGCUAGUUGGUGAGGUAACGGCGCACCACGGCGACGAUCAGUAGCUGGGCUGAGAGGAUGACCAGCCACACUGGGACUGAGACACGGCCCAGACUCCUACGGGAGGCAGCAGUGGGGAAUCUUGCGAAAUGGGCGAAAGCCUGACGCAGCCAUGCCGCGUGAAUGAUGAAGGUCUUAGGAUUGUAAAAUUCUUUCACCGGGGACGAUAAUGACGGUACCCGGAGAAGAAGCCCCGGCUAACUUCGUG